Molecule: transfer RNA, 95 nt
Organism: Sistotremastrum niveocremeum HHB9708
Lineage: Eukaryota; Fungi; Basidiomycota; Agaricomycetes; Sistotremastrales; Sistotremastraceae
Rfam family: tRNA
About the family: Transfer RNA (tRNA) molecules are approximately 80 nucleotides in length. Their secondary structure includes four short double-helical elements and three loops (D, anti-codon, and T loops). Further hydrogen bonds mediate the characteristic L-shaped molecular structure. tRNAs have two regions of fundamental functional importance: the anti-codon, which is responsible for specific mRNA codon recognition, and the 3' end, to which the tRNAs corresponding amino acid is attached (by aminoacyl-tRNA synthetases). tRNAs cope with the degeneracy of the genetic code in two manners: having more than one tRNA (with a specific anti-codon) for a particular amino acid; and 'wobble' base-pairing, i.e. permitting non-standard base-pairing at the 3rd anti-codon position.
Source: Rfam
GGCAAGAUGGCCGAGUGGUCUAAGGCGUGUGACUCAAGCGAAAGCUUCCAUUCUCAUGGUGAAUAACCGCCUGGGUUCGAAUCCCAGUCUUGUCA